AACGAACGCUGGCGGCAUGCCUAACACAUGCAAGUCGAACGAGACCUUCGGGUCUAGUGGCGCACGGGUGCGUAACGCGUGGGAACCUGCCCUUAGGUUCGGAAUAACUCCCCGAAAGGGGUGCUAAUACCGGAUAAUGUCUUCGGACCAAAGAUUUAUCGCCUUUGGAUGGGCCCGCGUUGGAUUAGCUAGUUGGUAGGGUAAAAGCCUACCAAGGCGAUGAUCCAUAGCUGGUCUGAGAGGAUGAUCAGCCACACUGGGACUGAGACACGGCCCAGACUCCUACGGGAAGCAGCAGUGGGGAAUAUUGGACAAUGGGCGAAAGCCUGAUCCAGCAAUGCCGCGUGAGUGAUGAAGCCCUUAGGGUUGUAAAGCUCUUUUACCCGGGAUGAUAAUGACAGUACCGGGAGAAUAAGCUCCGGCUAACUCCGUG
RNAcentral lists this ribosomal RNA (433 nucleotides) under uncultured bacterium. Its description in RNAcentral is "partial 16S ribosomal RNA". It matches the Rfam family "Bacterial small subunit ribosomal RNA", at positions 29 to 507 of the family's 1533-position model. The record is from RNAcentral.